GGGAGCGUAGGGAUUGAUGCUUUGCCUGCUAUCUCUUACCCAUGUCUUUUGAGUACCUUACGUUUCCUCGGCGGGUCCGCCCGCCGAUUGGACAAUUUAAACCAUUUGCAGUUGCAAUCAGCGUCUGAAAAAACUUAAUAGUUACAACUUUCAACAACGGAUCUCUUGGUUCUGGCAUCGAUGAAGAACGCAGCGAAAUGCGAUAAGUAGUGUGAAUUGCAGAAUUCAGUGAAUCAUCGAAUCUUUGAACGCACAUUGCGCCCCUUGGUAUUCCAUGGGGCAUGCCUGUUCGAGCGUCAUUUGUACCUUCAAGCUCUGCUUGGUGUUGGGUGUUUGUCUCGCCUCUGCGUGUAGACUCGCCUCAAAACAAUUGGCAGCCGGCGUAUUGAUUUCGGAGCGCAGUACAUCUCGCGCUUUGCACUCAUAACGACGACGUCCAAAAGUACAUUUUUACACUCUUGACCUCGGAUCAGGUAGGGAUACCCGCUGAACUUAAGCAUAUCAAUAAGCGGAGAGAAA
This 519-nucleotide ribosomal RNA is filed under the name Pleosporales sp. HL7828S. RNAcentral's name for it is "eukaryotic LSU rRNA". The stretch from base 146 to 299 matches the Rfam family "5.8S ribosomal RNA". Lineage: Eukaryota; Fungi; Ascomycota; Dothideomycetes; Pleosporales. The record is from RNAcentral.